ACCCGCCGGGCUGUUCGACGCCACAACCCAAUUAACUGAACUAGAAUUGAAUAAUAAUCGACUUGUUCUCCUACCUGCCGGGAUUUUCGACGCCACAACCAGAUUAACUUACCUGGAUUUGUACGGUAAUGCCAUUGUUCACCUACCUGACGGGCUGUUGAAAGCCACGCCCGAAUUAGCAUACCU
Molecule: long non-coding RNA, 186 nt
Organism: Sycon ciliatum
Lineage: Eukaryota; Metazoa; Porifera; Calcarea; Leucosolenida; Sycettidae
Exons: 3
Source: RefSeq, a predicted model, not a curated record